CGCUUUGGUCAGUUACAGCCUUUAGAAUAUUUGCCUUCAAGUUGUAGCUGUUGUUUUUCUGAUGAUGGAUCCAGCUGUGAUUAUCAUCUUACUUCUCUACAGAAUAGAUUCUACUCAAGCAGUGAGAAAUUCAGAGCCGCUGGUCAUCUCAGCUGAUCCCGGUGGAGCGGUCAAUCUCACCUGCACAUUUGUAGACGACUCAAAUAAAGAUGUUAGGAUGUGGUACAAACAAAGACUGGAGCAUGCGCCACUGGAAGUGGGAUCAAAGUUAGAAGACAAACCGGCUGUGAUUUCAGGUCAAUUUGACAAAUCGAGAUUUAAACUCAACAGAAUAGCGAGUGGCAUUUCUCUCAGUAUUGAACGCGUCACUAAAGAAGAUGAAGGAAUGUACUUCUGUGGAGAGACUGGAAAGAAAACGCUGAACUUCUCUACUGCUACAUUCUUAGCGGUCACAGGGCAGUCAGACAUCUCAAUGCUCCAAACUCCAGUACGGGGGUCAAUUUCUCCAGGAGAGUCAGUCACUCUGCAGUGCACGGUCCUCUCUGAGAUCAGAGCAGCAGAUCUCCAAAUGCUCUGGUUCAGAGCUGCUGCAGGACAAUCCUUUCCUGAAAUCAUUUACACUCAUCAGAACAGCAAUCAUCUUUGGGAAUGGAACAGCAGUAGAAUUGAGUAA
This is a non-coding RNA of Pygocentrus nattereri (red-bellied piranha), 673 nucleotides long. The record is from the annotation of a RefSeq genome assembly. NCBI's taxonomy places the organism in Eukaryota, Metazoa, Chordata, Actinopteri, Characiformes, Serrasalmidae.